AUUAGUUCUGGUUAGAACCCGGGCAAGAAUU
Molecule: transfer RNA, 31 nt
Filed under: Synodontis sp. TT-2020
Lineage: Eukaryota; Metazoa; Chordata; Actinopteri; Siluriformes; Mochokidae
Description: partial tRNA-Glu
Source: RNAcentral